AAUAAACCAAUUUUUUACUUUUUACAUAUAAUUUUUGACUCUUUGUCUUAUUUAAUUUUUUUAUUGAUAUUUUUGUCUUUAUUAGAUGAUAAAUUAUAAAUAGUAUUUUACGUGUGACUAAUUUUUUUCUAAUUUUUCAAAUAAAACAGAUGGUCAAACAUUGGACACGGAAACU
Molecule: microRNA precursor, 175 nt
Filed under: Oryza brachyantha (malo sina)
Lineage: Eukaryota; Viridiplantae; Streptophyta; Magnoliopsida; Poales; Poaceae
Description: MIR812 microRNA precursor family
Rfam family: MIR812 microRNA precursor family
Source: Rfam by way of RNAcentral